This 2198-nucleotide ribosomal RNA is filed under the name Escherichia coli. RNAcentral describes it as "bacterial LSU rRNA". It matches the Rfam family "Bacterial large subunit ribosomal RNA", at positions 636 to 2819 of the family's 2925-position model. The record is from RNAcentral. Lineage: Bacteria; Pseudomonadati; Pseudomonadota; Gammaproteobacteria; Enterobacterales; Enterobacteriaceae.
UGUAGCAAGGUUAACCGAAUAGGGGAGCCGAAGGGAAACCGAGUCUUAACUGGGCGUUAAGUUGCAGGGUAUAGACCCGAAACCCGGUGAUCUAGCCAUGGGCAGGUUGAAGGUUGGGUAACACUAACUGGAGGACCGAACCGACUAAUGUUGAAAAAUUAGCGGAUGACUUGUGGCUGGGGGGGAAAGGCCAAUCAAACCGGGAGAUAGCUGGUUCUCCCCGAAAGCUAUUUAGGUAGCGCCUCGUGAAUUCAUCUCCGGGGGUAGAGCACUGUUUCGGCAAGGGGGUCAUCCCGACUUACCAACCCGAUGCAAACUGCGAAUACCGGAGAAUGUUAUCGCGGGAGACACACGGCGGGUGCUAACGUCCGUCGUGAAGAGGGAAACAACCCAGACCGCCAGCUAAGGUCCCAAAGUCAUGGUUAAGUGGGAAACGAUGUGGGAAGGCCCAGACAGCCAGGAUGUUGGCUUAGAAGCAGCCAUCAUUUAAAGAAAGCGUAAUAGCUCACUGGUCGAGUCGGCCUGCGCGGAAGAUGUAACGGGGCUAAACCAUGCACCGAAGCUGCGGCAGCGACGCUUAUGCGUUGUUGGGUAGGGGAGCGUUCUGUAAGCCUGUGAAGGUGUGCUGUGAGGCAUGCUGGAGGUAUCAGAAGUGCGAAUGCUGACAUAAGUAACGAUAAAGCGGGUGAAAAGCCCGCUCGCCGGAAGACCAAGGGUUCCUGUCCAACGUUAAUCGGGGCAGGGUGAGUCGACCCCUAAGGCGAGGCCGAAAGGCGUAGUCGAUGGGAAACAGGUUAAUAUUCCUGUACUUGGUGUUACUGCGAAGGGGGGACGGAGAAGGCUAUGUUGGCCGGGCGACGGUUGUCCCGGUUUAAGCGUGUAGGCUGGUUUUCCAGGCAAAUCCGGAAAAUCAAGGCUGAGGCGUGAUGACGAGGCACUACGGUGCUGAAGCAACAAAUGCCCUGCUUCCAGGAAAAGCCUCUAAGCAUCAGGUAACAUCAAAUCGUACCCCAAACCGACACAGGUGGUCAGGUAGAGAAUACCAAGGCGCUUGAGAGAACUCGGGUGAAGGAACUAGGCAAAAUGGUGCCGUAACUUCGGGAGAAGGCACGCUGAUAUGUAGGUGAAGUCCCUCGCGGAUGGAGCUGAAAUCAGUCGAAGAUACCAGCUGGCUGCAACUGUUUAUUAAAAACACAGCACUGUGCAAACACGAAAGUGGACGUAUACGGUGUGACGCCUGCCCGGUGCCGGAAGGUUAAUUGAUGGGGUUAGCGCAAGCGAAGCUCUUGAUCGAAGCCCCGGUAAACGGCGGCCGUAACUAUAACGGUCCUAAGGUAGCGAAAUUCCUUGUCGGGUAAGUUCCGACCUGCACGAAUGGCGUAAUGAUGGCCAGGCUGUCUCCACCCGAGACUCAGUGAAAUUGAACUCGCUGUGAAGAUGCAGUGUACCCGCGGCAAGACGGAAAGACCCCGUGAACCUUUACUAUAGCUUGACACUGAACAUUGAGCCUUGAUGUGUAGGAUAGGUGGGAGGCUUGGAAGUGUGGACGCCAGUCUGCAUGGAGCCGACCUUGAAAUACCACCCUUUAAUGUUUGAUGUUCUAACGUUGACCCGUAAUCCGGGUUGCGGACAGUGUCUGGUGGGUAGUUUGACUGGGGCGGUCUCCUCCUAAAGAGUAACGGAGGAGCACGAAGGUUGGCUAAUCCUGGUCGGACAUCAGGAGGUUAGUGCAAUGGCAUAAGCCAGCUUGACUGCGAGCGUGACGGCGCGAGCAGGUGCGAAAGCAGGUCAUAGUGAUCCGGUGGUUCUGAAUGGAAGGGCCAUCGCUCAACGGAUAAAAGGUACUCCGGGGAUAACAGGCUGAUACCGCCCAAGAGUUCAUAUCGACGGCGGUGUUUGGCACCUCGAUGUCGGCUCAUCACAUCCUGGGGCUGAAGUAGGUCCCAAGGGUAUGGCUGUUCGCCAUUUAAAGUGGUACGCGAGCUGGGUUUAGAACGUCGUGAGACAGUUCGGUCCCUAUCUGCCGUGGGCGCUGGAGAACUGAGGGGGGCUGCUCCUAGUACGAGAGGACCGGAGUGGACGCAUCACUGGUGUUCGGGUUGUCAUGCCAAUGGCACUGCCCGGUAGCUAAAUGCGGAAGAGAUAAGUGCUGAAAGCAUCUAAGCACGAAACUUGCCCCGAGAUGAGUUCUCCCUGAC